CUAGCAUGUAUGAGGCACUGGGUUCAAUCCUCAGCACCACAUAAAAAUAAAUAAAAUAAAGGCAUUGUGUCCACCUGCAACCAAAAAUAAUUUUUAAAAAUAUAAUUACUAUGUUUUAUUUUGCUGAUAACUCUCAAUAAUCCCAUUACUAAAAUAACAUAAGUAUUUAAUAUGAAAUAUAUGAAUCAUUUCUAGUAUUUAGCAGCAGAAACAGAGUUUCUUGGGUAUUAUAUAUAUUCUCCUGCAUCUAUCGUUAUUUUGGAUAAUGGAUAUGUGAAAUAGACUUGAAUAUCCAUAUAAAAAUCAGACUUCAAGCAGUUUCUGUAAAAUCUUUUAUGUCUCCUAUUAAAUAGAUCUUGAUUUACUUAAUUACUAGUUCUUAAUAAUCAGUUCAAUAAACCAUCCAAUAUCUAUAUUUAGAUAUUUUUAUUUAGCAUUUACUAUAUAUUAGGUACUAUUUUAAGUACUAGAGAAUUAACUGACGUAAAAGACAGAAUUCUUGUGUUCAACAAGUUGAAAUUCUGGUGAUUGGAGUUUGACCAUAAUAAAAUAAUUCCAAAUAUACAUAACUGACACAAAAAGAAUCCUGUAGUAGGAUGUGAUGAGAGUUAGUCACAAGUUAGGAAAGGCGUUUCAGAGGAACAAUAGUUCAAAGAGAUCAAAGGAGAGGAUUUUUUUUUAAAGGACAUGAUAUUAAGACUGGCACUCUGGGUAGGUUUGUAGAUAUUAAAAGUAUAACAAAGUUUAUUACAAAAGAAAGAAGAAGGUCGGGGAAGCAUCCUCAAGAGAGAGAGAGGGUCCUCUCAGAGAAGAGAGCAACACCUUCCUUCUUUGUGCUCCAGAUUUUAUUGGGGAUUGUAGGGGAAAUUCCAGAAGGUCUUGCCUGAGCACCACCUCCUAGCUCUUAACUGGCAGUUGGAUUGCAUCAGGUUUCUAAAUCCCUGUUUUGUAUGUCUUACUCAUGAGUGUCUAAGUGAAAUCCAAAGGAGUGAAAAUUUAUAAUUGUAAUAAGAUUUAAAAAUAUGCCAAGUAACCUAAAGCAACUUUGACCAUUUUGGUCCAUGGCAGCUGAUUUUGUCUAGAACUUGAUAUAACAGACCUUGAAACCACUGAGCUCUGUAGUCUUCAGUCAGUGCAAUUUGUUUUCCUCUUAUCAAAGGAGGAAUCUUGGACAAACACUUCUCAAUCCUAUGAAAAAUAUGUUGUUACAGGGAUAUUAAGGACCAGAAAUACUAUGUGUAAGUUUUUUCUUUAAGAACAUGUUAAGUGCUGACACAUAGGCUCAGUCUAUAGAAUUAAGUCAUUUUCCACGUUCCCAUUGCUUAUGUCUACCUUUCUUUAUCAUUUUUUUUUCCUUUGCUGGAGAAAGUAACAAGUUAUCAGAUAAGUGUAAAGAGCAAUACUGAGAUGUAUGUAUGGAGAGCAAGGAGACAUAAACUAGUUAAUCUAGAAGAAGUGGGGGAACUUACUGGAAGGAGAGUAGUAUUUGACAUUGUUGUUUGCCCCUUUCAAAGUGAAGCAGUUAUGGCCACCAUGGUGAUGUGAUUUGUGUGUGUGCAUGUUUGCAUAUGAGUGCCAUAUUCUCCAGUAAGGAAACAAUUAGAUUGGGGUGUUGAUAGGGAGUAAAUUGUUAUGGUGGUAGACUUAGGAAUCUAGGCUGGGUAAGGAGGGAAAAGGACAGCCGGACUGUAGUUAGUGAAAUAUUGGUGUGGUCAUUGACUAGAAGUCAAUAUUAAUGAAGUCAGGAAAUUAUUGGAAUGAGUAUUGUAUAGUAAAUAAGUUGGAUGGUGAGGGUCAGAGAACAGAAAGUUUAAAAUUGGGAUUUCAAGGUUUUAUACAGUUAUUAAUAAUAAUGAUAUGCAGACCAUAGACAUGAUGCUGAGGUUUAGAGAAAUAGAUGUUUAGAGCUAUGGAUGUUAGAAAAUCAAGAGGGAAUGGAAUUGGAAGGUUUACUUUUGAGAUGUGGAAGUUCUCAAGAAUAAAAAGAGUAGUGGUAGAAAGUAGAUUCUAAAUUUGUCAAUGAAUGAGCAGAGAUGACUGGAAAGCAACAGGUAAUAUUAACAAGGUGGGGAAGGUGUAAUAACACCUGGUAAUGUAUUUCAAAGGGAGCUGAGGUUUUUAAUGGAAUGGGAAGAGACUGUGGGGUGGGAAAUGAUAUUGGCCAUCUCUGUGGAAAUAUGCCUUGUCUCUAGGUUUUGAGAUAUGAGGGAAAUAAGAGGAAAGUAGCAUCCAUUUGAGAAGGCUACAGAGGAUGCAAUAUCCUCAGGGGACAUCAGAUUUCUCUUAUGGUAAGGGAAAUAUCCAGAGGAAGGGGAGUUUACUGAUAAUUAGAUUUGUCAUAUAAAUUAGGACACUUUUUUCAAUUGGAUGGGGACUAGAAAAACAGUAAAAUGAUAUAGUAUUUGCUAAACAGGGUAACAUAAUUACACUGUUGAUGACCAUGAGUUAUAAAAAAUAGAGUGGAAGGAUUUGUAAGAAUAUGAAGGAGGUAGGAAAUGGAUUGUAUAGAAAAACCUAGAGGUCAGUCGAUAUAAAGAAAACUAGACUAGAAGAUUUGUACUUCUGAUUGCGUGGCGAUGACUUGCUGUGUAAGAUAAAGGAUUCACCCUGAGGUGAGAACAUGCAGUGUUUAAAUCCUCCAGAUGAUUGUUUAUGGGGAAGUAACUGAUGUGGAGAUAUAAAGUGAUGAAGAUUAUAUGACACAUUUAAUAUACUGGAGGUGUGAAUUAGUCUAAAGGAUAUAUAAAGACAUUUUUCAUAUGAGAGUAUAAAGUUUGAUUAUAUGACUACCUUAUUUAUUUAUUAUCAUUUUCCAAAGUCUUUGACACAGUUUUAUUAUUACUAGUUUAUUGGAUUGAAUUUUUUAGGUGCUUAUGUAUACCUGCCUCACUUAAUUUACCCUUGUGCUUUUAAUAGACACUUGGUAAAGUAUUUUUAAUCACGUGACCUGCUAAAGGCUCAAAACAGAGCACAUUCUGGGAAUUCUGUAGAGAUUUAGGGAGAGGAAAAUUAAGCCAAACCACAUGUUCUUGAAUUUAAAAAGCUAAUAUGACAGAUUAUAGUUCAAGUUAAGAGGCCUAAGGAGGCAUCAUGUGAAAGUUCCUUUCUAGUGAAUCAUAGGGUACAGGAGCUAGAGAGUUAUGUUUUAAAAUAAUCAAUAUGCUAUGUGAAAAUAAAUGAUAGUAUGCAAAUCAAUGGAAGACUGGAGGUGAACCAUAAACAAAAAGCAAUAUUUUAGGUUGGCAGCUUGACUCAUAUCAGAAAAAAAAAAGUCUUGCAAAUACAACAAUUAAAAAUUCUCAGUAAAAAUUCCCCAAGCAAUAAUAAAAAAUGUGUGAGAUCAUUUGAAAGUAAGAUCUUAACCUUCAAGAAAGGACUCCACCUUGAAUGACAUUUAUUUUAUGCAGCUUUUAUCCUGAGAACCCUUUCCAGUCCACACAGCAGAGGAAGAGUAGAACUAAGGACAGAGUUUGUUACUGUAGAGAGAAUGGAAAUUGAGUGUGUGUGAGGGGGGCGAUGGGGACAAUGGGUACCCUAAAAUAUGCAUAGAGCCUGCUGUUAAAUUAUUGGCUGACCUAUGAAUUUUGCCUGAGUGAGUGAGAUUCCAAGCAUCAAGGGAAAAUAAAGUGUAAGACAAGAGAGCUGGGCAGAGAUUUCAGCAGGUUGCCAACCUCAAUGGAGACAGUGUUGGAAGGUCUGAAUUUUUCCAAGUUAGAGAGAUCUGGUGUAGACCUAAUGCUUCCCAUCCAUUGAAACCACAUUUUUAGAAAAAAAAAAAAAACCUGAAUUUCAGGACUAAGUGAUUAGUUCUAGGACUAAUAGCAAAACAGAUAUAGAUCUCACCUUAACAGUGUAAAUCAAGCCUGCAAAAAUUCAAGGUGAUUAACUAUUAGAACAAAAAUCAACACUCUUCAGAAGAAGACAGUAGGUACAGAGUUUCUACAAUGUUCAUAGAAAAUAAUCCCUAAUAGAUUAUAGGAAAGUCUGAAUAUAAUUGGAAGAAAGGUGGAAGAAUUUAAAGGGAGAUUUGUUAAAAUCCUAUUUAUGUAUCUGUGUAUAUAACCAAAUUCUAGAACUGAAAAGUAUAAUAUCUGCAAUGGGAAAUUUAUUGGAUAGAAUUAAGAACAAAACGGACAGAACAGGAAAAACAAUUAUUAAAUUUGAAGAUACGUUUACAGAAAUAUCCAAACUUGAGCAUAGAAAGCAUACAAUUAAAAGAAAAAACAAAAAAUUAGUACACCAAUGAUUUAUGGAACAAUAUUAAAUGACUGAAUAUGUUUAAUUGCAGGGAAAGACUAUAUCAGGAAAAACAUUUGAAGAAGUAACAGACUAUAGGUCCAGAAAGCUCCACAAGCAGGAUAAAUCCAAAGAAAGUCAUAAUUAGACAUCAGACUGAGAAGAGAAAAUAAUCUUAAAAGCAUACAGAUAUAAAGAAUACAUUAUAUACAGGGAAUAAUCAUAAAAGUUAUAUCUAACCCCAUCAGAAAUAAAAGAGGCCAGAAGACUACAGAAGAUAUUUUAAAUGUUCUGGGGUGGGAGAUGGCUAUCAGACUAGAAUUAUAUCCUACAAAAAUAUCUUUUAAAAGAAAAGACAGAGGGCUGGGGUUGUGGCUUAAAGGUAGAGUGCUUGCCUAGCCUGUAUGAGGUACUGGGUUCUAUCCUCAGCACCGCAUAAGAAUAAAAUGAAGGUACUGUGUCUACCAACAACUAAAAAAUAAAUAUAAAAAAAAAGUAAAGACAUUUCUGCAAGGGGUUGUGGCUCAGUGGUAGAGCUCUUGCCUAGCACAUGUGAAGCGCUGGGUUCAAUCUUCAGCACCAGACAAAAAUAAAUUUUAAAAAAAAGUAUAAAGAAAAAAGUAAAGAUAUUUCUAAUGAACCAAAUCCAAGAGAAUUCAUGCCUAGCAGUCGUGUACAAGAAAUUCUAAAGGAUAUUCUUGAAAAUUUUUGAAGGGAAAUGAAGGGAAAUAAUACAAGAUGGAAAUUGGAUCUACAAAAGGAAAUGGCAUUAUUUUUUUUUAUUAGCUACGCAUGACAUUGCAAUGAUCUUGGCAGUUCAUACAUUUGAAUCAAUUGGGGUAUAAUUUUUCAUUUGUCUGAUUGUACAGAUUGCAGAAUCACAUUGGUCAUACAGUCACCUAUAUACAUACAGCAAUCAUAAUGUCUAUUUUAUUCUGCUGUCCUUCCUAUCCCCCCUUCCCCUCCCCUCCCCUCCCAUCACUUCUCUCUAUCCAAUCUAAUGUGACACAGUUUUUUUUUUCUUUUUCUCCUCACAACAUCAUACAUGUAUUCUGUAUAACGAUGAGGGUCUCCUUCCAUCUUCUGUGCAAUUCCCCUUCUCCCUCCUUUUCCCUCCCACCUCUCUUCCCUAUUUAGUGGUAAUCAUCUUCUCAUGCUCUUCCUCCCUGCUCUGUUCUUAGUUGCUAUCCUUAUAUCAAAGAAGACAUUCAGCAUUUGUUUUUUAGGGAUUGGCUAAUUUCACUUAGCAUAAUCUCCUCUAAUGCCAUCCAUUUCCCUGCAAAUGCCAUGAUCUUGUUAUUUUUUAGUGCUGACUAAUAUUCCAUUAUGUAUAAAUGCCACAUUUUUUAAUCCAUUCCUCUAUUGAAGGUCAUCUAGGUUGGUUCCACAGUCUAGCUAUUGUGAAUUGUGCUGCUAUAAACAUUGAAGUGGCUGUGUCCCUGUAGUAUACUAUUUUUAGGUCUUUUGGGUAUAGUCCGAGAAGGGGAAUAGCUGGGUCAAAUGGUGUUUCCAUUCCCAGAUUUCCAAGGAAUCUCCAUACUGCUUUCCAAAUUGGCUGCACCAAUUUGUAAUCCCACCAGCAAUGUAUGAGUGUACGUUUUCCCCCGCAUCCUUGCCAGCACUUAUUGUUGUUUGACUUCAUAAUGGCUGCCAUUCUUAUUGGAGUGAGAUGGUAUCUUAGAGUGGUUUUAAUUUGCAUGUCUCUGAUUGCUAGAGAUGGUGAGCCUUUUUUCGUGGUAUUUGUUGAUUGAUUGUAUAUCCUCCUCUGAGAAGUGUCUGUUCAGAUCCCUGGCCCAUUUGUUGAUUGGGUUAUUUGUUUUCUUGUUGUUUAAUUUUUGGAGUUCUUUGUAUACUCUGGAGAUUAGAGCUCUACCUGAAGUGUGAGGGGUAAAUAUUUGUUCCCAGGAUGUAGGCUCCCUAUUUACCUCUCUUAUUGUUUCUCUUGCUGAGAAAAAACUUUUUAGUUUGAGUAUGUCCCAUUUGUUGAUUUUUGAUUUUAACUCUUGUGCUAUAGGUGUCCUAUUAAGGAAUUUGGAGCCCGACCCCACGAGAUGGAGAUUAGAGCCAACUUUUUUUCUAUCAGACGCAGAGUCUCUGGUUUGAUUCCUAGCUCCUUGAUCCAUUUUGAGUUGACUUUUGUGCAUGGUGAGAGAAAGGGAUUCAAUUUCAUUUUGUUGCAUAUGGAUUUCCAGUUCUCCCAGCACCAUUUGUUGAAGAUGCUAUCCUUUCUCCAUUGCAUGGUUUUAGCACCUUUGCCUAAUAUAAGGUAGUUGUAAUUUUGUGGAUUUGUCUCUGUGUCCUCUAUUCUGUACCAUUGGUCUACCAGCCUGUUUUGGUGCCAGUACCAUGCUGUUUUUGUUACUAAUGCUCUGUAGUAUAGUUUAAAAUCUGAAAUCGCAAUACCACCAGUUUCACUCUUCCUGCUUAGAAUUACUUUAACUAUUCUGUGUCUCUUAUUUUUCCAGAUGAAUUUCAUGAUUGCUUUUUCUAUUUCUGCAAGGAAUGCCAUUGGGGUUUUGAUGGGAAUUGCAUUGAAUCUGUAAAGUGCUUUUGGUAAUAUGGCCAAUUUAAUAAUAUUAAUUCUGCCUAUCCAGGAGCAAGGUAUAUCCUUCCAUCUUCUAAGAUCUUCUUCUAUUUCUUUCUUUAGGGUUCUGUAGUUUUCAUUGUAUAGAUCUUUCACCUCUUUUGUUAGAUUGAUUCUCAGGAAUAUUACUUUUUUUGAGGAUAUUGUGAAUGGGGUAGUUGUCCUCAUUUCCAUUUCAGAGAAUUUGUCACUGAUAUACAGUAAUGCCUUUGAUUUAUGGGUAUUAAUUUUAUAUCCUGCCACUUUGCUGAAUUCAUUUACCAGUUCUAGGAGUUUCUUGGUUGAACUUUUGGGGUCUUCUAGGUAUAGGAUCAUGUCAUCGGCAAAUAGUGCUAAUUUAAGUUCUUCUUUUCCUAUAUUUAUGCCUUUAUUUCUUUUGUCUGUCUAAUUGCUCUGGCUAGUGUUUCAGGAACUAUGUUGAAUAGAAGUGGUGAGAGAGGGCAUCUCUGUCUUGUUCCAGAUUUUAGAGGGAAUGCCUUUAAUUUUUCUCCAUUUAGAAUGAUGCUGGCCUGAGUCUUAGUGUAUAUAGCUUUUUCCAUGUUGAGGUAAUUUCCUGUUAUCCCUAAUUUUUCUAGUGUUUUGAACAUAAAGGGAUGCUGUAUUUUGUUGAAUGCUUUUUCUGCAUCUAUUGAGAUGAUCUUUAAGUCUAUGGUGAAUUACAUUUAUUGAUUUCCGUAUAUUGAACCAGCCUUGCAUCCCAGGGAUGAAUCCCACUUGGUCAUGGUGCAAGAUCUUUUUGAUAUGUUUUUGUAUCUGAUUUGCCAGAAUUUUAUUGAGGAUUUUUGCAUCUAUAUUCAUUAGGGAUAUUGGUCUGAAGUUUUCUUUCUUUGAAGUGUCUUUAUCAGGUUUUGGAAUUAGGAUGAUGUUGGCCUUGUAGAAUGAAUUUGGAAGUACUCCCUCUUUUUCUAUUUCCUGAAAUAGAUUGAAGAAUAUUGGUAUUAGUUCUUCUUUAAAGGUCUUGUAAAACUUUGCUGUAUAUCCCUCCUGUCCUGGGCUUUUCUUGGUUGGUAGUCUUUUGAUGGCUUCUUCUAUUUCCUCAAUUGAUAUUGGUCCAUUUAGGUUGUAUAUAUCAUCCUGAUUCAAUCUGGGUAGAUCGUAUGCCUUAAGGAAUUUAUUGAUGCCUUCACUAUCCUCUAUUUUAUUAGAGUAUAGGGUUUCAAAAUAAUUUCUAAUUAUCUUCUGUAUUUCUGAAGUGUCUGUUGUGAUGUUGCCUUUUUCAUCCCGUAAGCUAGUAAUUUGGGUUCUCUCUCUUCUUCUUUUUGUUAGCAUGGCUGGUGGUCUAUCAAUCUUAUUUAUUUUUUCAAAGAACCAACUUUUAGUUUUGUUAAUUUUUUCAAUUGUUUCUUUUGUUUCAAUUUCAUUGAUUUCAGCUCUGAUUUUAAUUAUUUCUUGCCUUCUACUGUAUUUGCUGCUGAUUUAUUCUUCUUUUUCUAGGGCUUCGAGAUGUAGUGUGAGGUCAUUUAUUUGUUGGCUUUUCCUUCUUUUAAGGAAUGAACUCCAUGAAAUGAAUUUUCCUCUUAGUACUGCUUUCAUAGUGUCCCAGAGAUUUCGAUAUGUUGUGUCUUUCAUUUACCUCUAAGAAUAUUUUAAUUUCCUCUUUGAUGUCUUCUGUAACCCUUUGUUCAUUCAGUAGCAUAUUGUUUAUUCUCCAUGUGAUGUACAGAUUUUUCUUCCUUAUUUUAUCAUUGAUUUCCAAUUUCAUUCAUUGUGAUCAGAUAAAAUGCAUGGUAGUAUCUCUACUCCUUUGUAUUUGCUAAGAUUUGCCAUGUGACAUAAUAUAUGGUCUAUUUUUGAGAAUGAUCCAUGUGCUGCUGAGAAAAAAGUGUAUCCACUUGAUGUUGGGUUGUAUAUUCUAUAUAUGUCAAUUAAGUCUAAUAUUAUUGAGCUCUAUAGUUUCUUUUUUCAACUUUUGUUUGGAAGAUCUGUCCAGUGGUUAGAAAGGUGUGUUAAAAUCUCCCAUGAUUAUAGUGUUGUGGUCUAUUUGACUCUUGAACUUGAGAAGAGUUUGUUUGAUGAACAUAGCUGCACCAUUGUUUGGGGCAUAUAUAUUAAUGAUCAUUAAGUCUUGUUGGUGUAUGGUUCCCUUGAGCAGUAUGUAGAGUCCUUCUUUAUCCCUUUUGAUUAACUUUGGCUUGAAGUCUAUUUUGUUUAAUAUGAGUUUGGACACCCCUACUUGCUUCCGAGGUCCAUGUGAGUGGUAUGAUUUUUCCCAACCUUUCACCUUCAGUCUGUGUAUGUCUUUUCCUAUCAGAUGAGUCUCCUGUAGGCAGCAUAUUGUUGGAUCUUUUUUUUAAAAUCCAGUCUAUUAGCCUAUUUAAGCCAUUAACAUUUAUGGUUACUAUUGAGAUAUGGUUUGUACUUCUAGCCAUAUUUGUUUAUUUAUGUAACUUAACAUGAUUUGUUUUUCCUCUUUGAUUAGUUUUUCCUUUACUGUCCUACCUCCCGCUGUUGGUUUUCAUUGUUAUUUUUCAUUUCCUCUUCCUGUAAUAUUUUGCAAAGGAUGUUUUGAAGAGAUGGUUUUCUAGCUGCAAAUUCUUUUAACUUUUGUUUAUUGUGGAAGAUUUUUAUUUCAUCUUCAAUCCUGAAGUUUAUUUCACUGGAUACAUGAUUCUUGGUUGGAACCCAUUUUCUUUCAGCGUUUGAAAUAUGUUGUUCCAGGAUCUUCUAGCUUUCAGAGUCUGUGUUGAAAGAUCAGCUGUUAUCCUGACUGGCUUACCCCUAAAUGUAAUCUGCUUACUUUCUCUUGUGGCUUUUAAGAUUCUCUCCUUAUUCUGUAUGUUGGGCAUCUUCAUUAUAAUGUGUCUAGGUGUGGAUCUCUUAUGAUUUUGCACAUUCGGCGUCCUGUAGGCUUCUAGGAUUUGGAAUUCUGUUUCAUUCUUCAAGUCUGGGAAGUUUUCUCGUAUUAUUUUAUUGAACGGAUUGCUCAUUCCUUUGGUUUGGACCUCUUAUAUCCUCUUAAGUUUGGUCUCUUUAUGUUAUCCCAUAUUUCUUGGAUGUUCUGCUCAUGGUUUCUUAACAUUCUCGCUGAGCUGUCUAUGUUCUUUUCAAGUUGAAAUACUUUGUCUUCAUUGUCUGAUGUUCUAUCUUCUAAGUGUUAUACUCUGCUGGUAAUACUCUCAUUUGAACUUUUAAUUUGGUUCAUUGUUUCCUUCAUUUCCAAGAUUUCUGUUUGUUUGUUAUUUUUUUUUAAUAAUCUAUCUCCCUGUAGAGUUGAUCUUUUGCUUCUUGGAUUUGUUUAUGUAAUUCAUUGUCAAAGUGAUCUUUCAUUGUCUGAUUUUGCUGUCUAAUGUCUUCCUUGAGACUCCAGAUCAUCUGAAGCAUGUAUAUCCUGAACUCUUUAUCUGACAUUCCAUCUGCUGCAGAUAUUACCCCUUCUAAUAUUGAAUUGACCUACAUUGUUUGUGGUUCUUUCUUUCCUUGUCUUUUCAUACUGCUCAUGUUUCUUUCCAGCUUUGUGAAACUGUUGUGUUAAUGAUUUCCCCCUUAUAUAUUUAUAUUGCUCUUGUAUAGCUCCAAAUCUCUAUUUUGUUGAGAAAGACAAUGUUGACAAUUCCCAAUAUCAAUAGUACAUCAUCUAAGCACAAAUUUUCAUUAUUAAUACAUUUAUAGUUAGACUCUAAGUCUACAGAUAUUGGCUUCAAAUAUUAUUUAAAAAUAUAGUCAUUAGUUUCAUAAAAGGCAUACCAUUUCUGGUGGCAUAUAAAAAACUGAAUUUCAGACGUAGGAUGUUUUGCUUAGGGGGAAAGGAGUGAGGGUAUGAGGUUAAUCUAACUUCGCAACUUUGGAGAACUCUAACCAAUAGACUGGUAAUUUAUGGAAGAAUGUAGAGAUUCAACCUCCUAUCUGUAUUUAGUAAGUUACCCUACGUAUAGAUAGUAAAAGGGGGUUGAAAGUGGGAUAGAGGGAGUAAGAAUGAAGAAAAAAAUAUCAAGGAAGAAAAGAGAAAAAAGAGAGAGGGAAAAAGAAAAUAAGAAAGAAAAAAGAAAAAGAAAAAAGGGGGGGAGGUGGGGCAUAUGCAAUUUCUCUAUAUUAUAUUAUUCUGGUGAUUCAGUUGUUAAAAGUCCUAUUUCAUGCACAGUUCUUGGUUUCACAUAUUUUGAGGUUGUGAAAGAGAGAGAAGAAAAGGUAGAAAAAAAAGUCUCUCAGAACACUGUUUUCCUUUCUUCUAGUAGGUGGGGUUGUCUAUUCCUAGCUUGAGCCUCUGUGUUCGUGGUGGUGGAUGUAGCCAGUGUGAAAGGACAUGAGCUUCCACCUGUAGCCUCCCUACUCUACUCUCUGAGAUGGAAACCAGGUGCCUAUACAGUUUUUGUUUUGCGUUGAUAGCUACACUCCCCCCAAAAGCUUGUGGGAAAAAUUUUGAGUUAUUGCAGCUAAGGGCGGCGGAGUUGGAAACUGGGUACCUGGAUCAGCCGCAGAACCGUGCUGGUAGCCACACCCCCGGUUGAUAGGUUUUAAGGGUUGAUGGGCUUCCUCCCAUCUGGCGGGCGGGGGCCAGGGCUGGGCUUCCUCCUCCAGUCUCGGCAUUAUGUUUUACUACUGAAAAUGCUAAAUAAUACUAUUAUAAAACUAUAAAAUAAUGAUAUAAAGACAAAUUUUGUCUAUUUUUCUGCCAUUUAAAAAUUCUUUAAAAGCAAUUGUUUAAAGCAAAAAUAGUAAAAACAUUAUGGGAUUUAUAUUAAAUAUGUAGAAGUAAAAUAUAUGACAGUAAUAAAUAAUUCAAAGGAAUGUAAUUUUGCUUUCAAAGUGAUAUGAUAUUAAUUUACAAGAUAAGGAAGCAUAUUGUAAUUCCUAUAUUUUCUGUGUUUAUUAUGGUAGUCAUUAACCACACCUGACUAUUUUCAUUCAUUUAAAACUUAAUUAACUUAAUAUAUACAGUUCCUCAGUUGCUCUGGCCAUAUUUAAGCUGUUCCACAGCCAUAUAUGAUCAGUGAUUAUUGUGUUUAACAAAGAUAUAGAAUAUUUCUAUUGUCAGAGGAAGUUUUAUUAUAUAGUACCUCCUUGGAACAGCUGCUAAAAAUCAAUAAUUCAAGAAGGCAUAAAGUAAAAAGUCAAUAAGGGAAAUAAAAUGAAACACCAUGAAAAAGUAAACAUAUAUUCAAUUAAUCCUAAGUAAGGUAGGAAAAAAAGAAUAGUAAUAAAGAACAGAGGUGAGAAAUAGAAAACAAAAGUAAUAUUGGAUUUAAAUCUAUCUAUAUUAUUAAUUACAUUACAUAUAAAUGGACUAAACAUUCAAAUUGAAAGACAUAAUUACUCACACUGAAUAAAUGUGAGAAACAAAUGUAUGCCAUUUAUAACAGGUACCAGACAUGAAUAUUUAAAAAAAAAUCUUGAAGGUAAAAGCAGAAAAAAGAUAUACUGUGCCAAUCAAAAAACUAGUGUAUCUAUCUUAAUCUCAUAUAAAAUGGACUGCAUGCAAAGAUUAUCAGAGUUAAAGAGGAUCAGUUCAUUAGGAUAAAAUAAUUCUAAAUGUGUGCGUACCAAUAUCAGAGUUUAUAAAUACAUGAAGCAAAAUAUGACAGAACUAAGGGAGAAAUACAAAAUCCAUAAUCAUUGGUGGAAUUUUAAAUGAUCUUCUCUUAGUAUUUUGUAAACAAAUAGUAAAGAUGUAGAAAAUUUUGAACAAUUGUCAACCUAUUUGACCUAAUUGACAUUUGUAGAGCAUUAUGCUGCAAAACUCAGGAUAUAUUAGGUUUUUUAAGUGCAAAUAGAACAUUCAGGACAGACUAUCUUCUGGAUCUUAAACAAGUCUUAACAUAAAACUACAAAGGAUGGAAAGCCAACAGAGCAUGUUCCCUGAUACAGUGGAAAUUAAUUUGAAAUCAAUAACUGACAAUUUUAAAUAACUUCUGGGUCAAAAAAGUUAUGAUGUAAAUUAAUAAAUAUUUUGAAAGUAGUUAUAAUGACAAUUUGUGAGAUACAUUUAAAGCAGUUGAUAAAGGGAAAUUUUGUAGCUUAAAUAUUUUAUAUUAGAAAAGGAGAUAGUUUUAAAAAUUAUCUACUAUGAUUUGCAUGUCCUCUCCAAAACUUUUUUUUAUGUUGAAAUGAAUUGCCACUAUAACAUUAUUAAGAGGUGAGAACUUUAAGAGGGAUUAGGCCAUGAGGGUUUCUGCCUCCUAAGUGGGAUUGGUAUCCUUAUAUAAUAUGGCAAGCUUGUCUCCUUGCUCUGUUGCACUUUUUCCUUCCAUCAUGUGAUGAUGCAAAAAGAAGGCCCUUACCAGAUGUCAAGCUGUCAAUCUUGAAUUUCUAAUUUUUCAGAUCUGUAAGAAAAUCAAUUUCUAUUUUUUUAAGAGGCCCAACCUGUGGUAUUCUGUUAUAGCAGCACAAAACUGAGUAAUACAUAUUUGUGAUUUGACCUUAUAUUAGGGUUAAGUUUGAGAAGCAGAAUCAAUAUUGUUACGAAAAAAGAAUUUCUUAUAGUAAGACCUUAUACAAUUAUGGGUGGAACUGAAAAAGCUUCCUGAGGCACUGGUAGAGGUGGGCAAGUGAGAUCUUGAAGGGAAGUAUCUGAGAAGUGAAGCACUAUUUGCACCAAAGUGAGAAUGCCAGGGGAAUUUUGUGAAGGGUGUGUGUGUUAUCAGUCAGGCAUCUGCUAGGGGCCCAGGGCCCCUGUUGUUUAGAUAGGGUAGCAGGGAGAAAAAGAGAAAAGGAGAUUUAGAAGACAGAAGCUACCAGGCUUCUCUUUAUUUGCCUGGCAUAUUAAUUGACUUUCACAGAGUAAUGGAUGCUGAUUUAUUUCCACCUCUCAAAUCUCAAGCACCUUCCUCUUCAGACCAACUUAAACCCCUGGAUUCUAAAAUGAAAUAGAAUAAUUAUGGGAAAUAGAGUUUCCAUUUUAAUCAAGUUUACAAUGCAGUGACCACAUACAAUCUGCCCUUUACUUCAUCUUUUAACUAUAUCUAAUAUCCAAUUAAGGACAGUAAUAAAAUGUGCUUUUAUUUACUGUGAUGUAUUUAUCUAUGGAACAACUGAAAACAUGGUAAUUUCUCCCUGGAAAAGGAUAUACAAAGUACAAAUUCAUUUGAUCUAUCUUUGGAUGAAGUUUAUUUCUCUUACAACUGGAUCUCACACCACCUUUUAUAUUUCUAACUUAAAUAUGGAAAUGUAAGAGUAUAUAAUUAACUAUUAUUAAGAUAGCUUCUGUUAGAAGGAAAUGGGAGAGAGGAGACUCACACACACACACACACACACACAUAUCAAAAUAACAAUCACAACUCAUUAUUUCUGUAACUGGGCAAGUAGUUUUAUUUACUUUCCUCUUCUACUACCCCUUCAACAUUUCCUUUGCCUUCAGCAAUUAGUGAUUGUGGUUCUUUGCAUGGUGAGGUGAUCUUAAAAAUCACCUGAAGGACUGGUGACAAAAGAAGACUGGCUUCUGGGUUCUUUUAGAUUUUCAUUAAUCUAUCACAGAACAUGUGAGAACUAAUAGAUGUACCAUAAAAUCUUCAUCCUAGACAAACUUCUCCUCAUCCUUUUUUGUUCUUGAAAACACAGUUUUUCUCUGGUAAGAAGCAUCUUAUUUUCCUGUUGGUUUUCUGGCACAAAGAAUCAAAAUAUGAAUGCAGAAAUCUCAGCUUCCACCUUAAUGAAACCACUAUUGUAUUUCUUUUCUUUUUUUAAUAUUUAUUUAUUUAUUUUAGUUGUAGAUGGAUACAAUACCUUUAUUUUAUUUAUUUAUUCAUUUUUCUGUGGUGCUGAGGAUCGAACCAAGGGCUUUGCUCGUGCUAAGUGAGCGCUCUACCAUUGAACCACAACCCCCACCCCCACUAUUAUAUUUCUUGAUGGAAAUAUUCUUCCCUUGGAAACUGAGAUAUCUAAACCAGCUGAUUUUAGAGGUGCAGGGACAGGAAACAAAAAUUGUGCUAGAUCAUUAGAGUUGAAGGAGUCAUUCCCGUUUCUGCUUCUUUAUUUCUGGAGCCAAGAAUCUUGACUGUAGAAAAAAAAUGGUACCAUAUAUUAAUUGCUGGCUCAGAGUAUGUAUCCAUCUUGGAAGAUAUUACCCAGCCUUACAUAUUCCACUUUGUGCCAGAACUGAGUCUUUUAAUGGUCAUUCCAUAUUUUAUUAGACCAGCUGCUUCUGGUUGUUAGAAAAUGAGGCAGUAUCAGUAAAUUCCUAUAUGCAAGCACCCAUACCCAGGCUUCAUUUGCUAUAAAAGGAGUUCCCUGCUCAGAAACAAUGCUGUGUGUAACAUCAUGAUGGUGAAUAAGAAUUUUUUCAAGUCCUCAAAUGUAGUUUUGGCACAAGCAUUGUGGGCAGAGAAGACAAAUCAGUAUCCAUGGUAAAUGUUUAUUCCACUGAAAAUGAAGCCCUGCUUUUUCCAUGAUGAAAAUAGUCCCGUGUAGUCAAGCUGGCGCUAAGUGCCUGGCUGUUCCAGCCAUGGAAUAGCACUGGACUCUGUUAUUUUCUGAAUUUUGGGCACUUGGCAAUGAUAUAGUCAGAUAAGGCUUGACAAGUGGAAAGCCAUGCUGUUGAGCCCACAUGUAACUUUCAUCCUUGUCUUCAUGAUCACAGUGUUCAUGAACUAAGGGUAGGGGCUGGGGUUAAGGCAGGGAAAGAUGACUAACACCUACAGAUGGUGUUACAUUGUCUAUUUAAUUAUUAAGAUCCUUUUCUACUGAAGUUGCUUUUGGUGAUUAUUUGCAUAGAUCACAAAUGUCUUCGCACUGAGUUUUCUAUAGCUCUAUAACAAACCACCUCAAACUUAGGGCUUUAAGGCAACCACCAUUUACUUGCUCAGUAUUUGGAUACCUGGUUUGGUCUCAGGUAGAAUGGCCCCCCAAUGCCCAUGUGGUACAUUGGUCAGUAGUGGUCAAUCCCAGUAGCUACUCUCCUGGGAUUGCAUGUGGAGCUAUAGUCAUAUGGAAUCUCAACCAGGACUAGAUGAUCCAAGAUAGCUUCAUUUGCAUGGCUUUUGCCUCAGCUAGAAUGGCAGCAGCACACUCUCUUGGUCUCUUUCCAAUCUAGCCUAUUCAGUAGGUUGGCCAGACUACUUGACAUGCUGUCUCAGUCUCAAAAGAGAGUGAGAGCAGUAGUUUACAAGAGCAGGCCCUAACAGACCAAGGACCUCCCUUCUGAUCCUUUUAAUGGUCCACAUCACCUUCCAAUAGCACCACCCAGGACUUUACAAAUGCUAAGCAAGUGAUCUACUACUGAGCUAAAUGCCCAGCCACAAGACUGUUGUUUUUUAUUAUCAAUUCUUAUACUCUUUCAAAGUAUAUAUACACACACACACACACACACACACACAAAAGGUAAAUGAUGUAGUUUGAAUCUGGAAUGGCCCCGAAAUGCCCAUAUAUUUAAGGGUUGGUCAGUAGUGGCACCUUUAAGAGGUGUGGAUGUUGGAAGAAAGGUAAUUGGGGGGUGUUUCCUUGAAGGGAUUAUAGGAUGCUGGUCUCUUUCUCUUUCCAGUUGCUACCAGGUGAGCAGCUUAUUCCAUCACUCAUAGGCUUAAGCAACGGUGCCACAUCUGACUUUUCUCUCUAUUUUUUUUUUGGGGGGGGGGUACCAGGGAUUGAACCCAAAGAAACUUAGCCACUGAGCUACAUCCUCAGCCAGUUUUACUUUUUAUUUUGAGACAGUGUCUCACUAAAUUGCUUAGUGCCUUGCUAAGUUGCUGAGGGUUUGUACUUAGAAUCUUCCUGUCUCAGGCUCCAGAGCUACUGGAAUUACAGGUUGCACCACUAUACCCAGCUCUUUUUUCUCAAAGUUGAUUAUUUCAAGUAGUUUGUUACAGUAGUGGAAAGCUAACACAGUACAUACAGAUAUAUUUGUACUAAACUAUUACUUUUGUAUUAUGAUACUACUUUUGUAUUACUUUCUUGUAAAAAUAUGUUAAAUUUUGUAAAACCAAACAAUAAUAAGUAUUUACUAUGUAUUUGAAUCCUAAAAAUUAUGAAAAUAAAAUAUUUGACUUCAUAA
RNAcentral lists this long non-coding RNA (16739 nucleotides) under Marmota monax (woodchuck). Lineage: Eukaryota; Metazoa; Chordata; Mammalia; Rodentia; Sciuridae. The record is from RNAcentral.